Gopherus flavomarginatus (Mexican gopher tortoise) is the source of this 957-nucleotide long non-coding RNA. RefSeq lists it as uncharacterized. The transcript has 4 exons. The record is from RefSeq and is a predicted model, not a curated record. Lineage: Eukaryota; Metazoa; Chordata; Testudines; Testudinidae.
GGCAGCGCGAGGCGGCAGGUUCGCAUCUGCCGGCGGCGCCGGAGGGACGCGGCUGCGAGAGAAGAAAUACUAUUUUCUGCAUACCUUGGUACAUUUAUAGAAGCACAGGAAACCACCAGUGACAUGUGCCUACUCUUGAUGUAACCACAUCUAAAAUAUUGUUGGUCUGUGAUACAGGACAGAGUGACUUUUGAAAGAUGGAUUCAUGCUCCAGGCAGUAGCGCUCAGCAGCAUUCCUCAACCUAGGAGGCAGAAAGAAGGAGAAACUUGCUCAGAGAGAGCAAGCUUCAGAGGCAACUUCCUGGGAGAACAACUUCCUGCUGAUGUUGAAGACAAGAGGUUCCCCUUCCCCCACUCCUUGUGACAGUACAGCUCCAAGGCUGACAUCGGAUGCAUCCAUUAAGUGUGGCGCAAAUGUUUCAAUGUGGCCUCUAUCCACUCCGUCCCAGAGGCUGGUCCAGAUUCGAAGGCAGAAAAAAUGAACUCAAGAAGACAUGUUCGCCAAGCUCAUGCAGUCCUCUCGCACUGAUAAGGCCCAGCUGAAUACAUGGAGGCAAACAAUUGUGGAGUCUUGUAAAGCAUUACAGGAACACGAACAGAGGAGAGACGCACAUGAUGAGAGCAGGCAGGACGCUAUGGUCGAGCUCAUGGGGGAGCAAACUGACAUGCUCCGCUGUAUGGUGGAUCUAAUGUGGGAAAGGCAGCAAGACCAGUCUUUUGCUGCAGCCCCUGUAUAACUGCCCUCCCUCCUCCCCAAGUUCCAUAGCUUCCUCACCCAGAUGCCUAAGAACAUGAGGGGGAGGCUAUGGGGAUCCACACACUCAACCUGAGGAUCGCCCAAGCAGCAUAAAGCUGGCAUAUGCAAACCUUUGAUUUGGUUUCUCAACUUGUCCUUCACUCCUCCUCCACCCCCUUAACCCAACCCCACCCCAGUCUGCCUUCUGAUUUCUCAAUGUG